AGCGUGUGAGAUGAAAGACUACAACCAAGAGACAGUAAAAACCAGAAAGGUCAGGAAUACUUAUUGAAUCUAACUUUGUUUUUGUUUUUGUUUUUCCUUAUCAUGAAAGGUGGGAUGAGAGGAAAUUGACACAUAUAUGCUGAGAUACUAACGUGUCAGGUUUUGAAAGGGGUUGUUACAGCUGCAAAGGAGAAUUGUAUAGUACUAAUGAGUAAAGAUGCGUGUACACUUUGUUCUAUUUAAGGCGAAAGUUUAUAUAAGAGGAACUUUUUUCUUAGAAAGAGAUCGUAGAGAUGUCUGAGACCUAGUUUAAAAAUGAUUCCAUAAUUAUGUAGACUUGGGCAGUUCCCUUCUGAGGCUCCUCCCCCCAAAAUUUGAAGAUUGUGCUUGGAAACUACUUUAAAUGUAUUUGGGCUGUAUGUCAAAUUCUAUAAAAUUAGACUUUAAGACAAGUUUAUACUGAGAGGUUAAUAAUUUAUAUCUAUUGAAGACUUAGAACUAGCCGGGAAAAAUGAAGAAAAACAAAAACAAAGGCUGAUUUUUAUUCUUCUAUUCAAAAUACAAGGACAGAUGCUUCUCUGUUCCAAGAGGGUUUCCUUGAGGAAGCUACUGAAGCAGAAAGACAUGAUGGAGACGAGAUCGCCUCCCCUCUUGUCAAAGUGUUAAAAAAAUAUUCUGUCUUACUCUGAGCCUAGCAUUGGAAAUGAAAGUGACAUUUACGCCACAACCCACGUGUGCGCCUCCUCUCUUUUUGUUUAAGGAUGAUCAGGUCUAUCCAGGAAACAGCUCUGGCAUCCCAAACUGAAAUAAUUAGGACGUAUAUAGACCUGACAAAAAUGGAAAGGGGGUGGGGAAUCUGAGGGUCUGUCCUGCCUAAUUGAUUCCGCUAAACGGAAUGCAGGAGAUGUGAACGGCAGGACGCUCCGAUUCCCACGCUCGGGGGCAAGUGGUAAAGCGGGCCGGCAGCCUAUGACAGACAGCCCUGUUGGGGGGUAGGGGUAUGAAAAAAACAUCAAGUGCACACACCAUACUCAUCUCCAUCGCUUAAGAAAGUAAAGGCAUUUCCCACCCAC
This 1073-nucleotide long non-coding RNA is filed under the name Marmota monax (woodchuck). Lineage: Eukaryota; Metazoa; Chordata; Mammalia; Rodentia; Sciuridae. The record is from RNAcentral.